This 239-nucleotide long non-coding RNA is filed under the name Elaeis guineensis (African oil palm). RNAcentral's name for it is "long non-coding RNA (EGUI_LNC042120)". Lineage: Eukaryota; Viridiplantae; Streptophyta; Magnoliopsida; Arecales; Arecaceae. The record is from RNAcentral.
CCCUUCACGUGGAGGUUCUGAAAGUAGGUGGCCUCCGCGGUGGCCUCAGAGUGGCUCUCCCUCAACUUGCGAAGUUCGCCCUCCAUCUCCUUCGCCCCUUUUGUUAAAUGACGAACUUUCUUAUUCAGACGUUGGAUCAUGGACUUCAGCGGAAUCCCCUGUGGCAGGGGAAGCGCUUCGACAGGGGAAGCACUUCGGCAGGACACUACCAUCGGGAGACAAAAGCGUCAAGGCGCAUC